UUGGGUAACACUAACUGGAGGACCGAACCGACUAAUGUUGAAAAAUUAGCGGAUGACUUGUGGCUGGGGGUGAAAGGCCAAUCAAACCGGGAGAUAGCUGGUUCUCCCCGAAAGCUAUUUAGGUAGCGCCUCGUGAAUUCAUCUCCGGGGGUAGAGCACUGUUUCGGCAAGGGGGUCAUCCCGACUUACCAACCCGAUGCAAACUGCGAAUACCGGAGAAUGUUAUCACGGGAGACACACGGCGGGUGCUAACGUCCGUCGUGAAGAGGGAAACAACCCAGACCGCCAGCUAAGGUCCCAAAGUCAUGGUUAAGUGGGAAACGAUGUGGGAAGGCCCAGACAGCCAGGAUGUUGGCUUAGAAGCAGCCAUCAUUUAAAGAAAGCGUAAUAGCUCACUGGUCGAGUCGGCCUGCGCGGAAGAUGUAACGGGGCUAAACCAUG
Molecule: ribosomal RNA, 441 nt
Filed under: Escherichia coli
Lineage: Bacteria; Pseudomonadati; Pseudomonadota; Gammaproteobacteria; Enterobacterales; Enterobacteriaceae
Description: partial 23S ribosomal RNA
Rfam family: Bacterial large subunit ribosomal RNA
Source: RNAcentral